GAUGAAGAACGUAGCGAAAUGCGAUACUUGGUGUGAAUUGCAGAAUCCCGUGAACCAUCGAGUCUUUGAACGCAAGUUGCGCCCGAAGCCAUUAGGCCGAGGGCACGCCUGCCUGGGCGUCACACGCCGUUGCCCCCCCAUCUACUCCUUCGGGAUUGCGGGGGGGCGGAUGAUGGCCUCCUGUGCGCCUAGCCGCGCGGUUGGCAUAAAUACCAAGUCCUCGGCGACGCACGCCACGACAAUCGGUGGUUGCGAAACCUCGGUUGCCCGUCGUGUGCGUUCGUCGCGCAUCGAGGGCUCGAAAAAAUGCUCGGCUCCGGCUGGGCUUUCAACGCGACCCCAGGUCAGGCGGGGUUACCCGCUGAAUUUAAGCAUAUCAAUAAGCGGAGGA
Molecule: unclassified non-coding RNA, 391 nt
Filed under: soil metagenome
Description: partial contains 5.8S ribosomal RNA, internal transcribed spacer 2, and large subunit ribosomal RNA
Rfam family: 5.8S ribosomal RNA (bases 1-122)
Source: RNAcentral